RNAcentral lists this ribosomal RNA (409 nucleotides) under Verrucomicrobiota bacterium. RNAcentral describes it as "Verrucomicrobia bacterium partial 16S ribosomal RNA". It matches the Rfam family "Bacterial small subunit ribosomal RNA", at positions 355 to 776 of the family's 1533-position model. The record is from RNAcentral. Lineage: Bacteria; Pseudomonadati; Verrucomicrobiota.
UGGGGAAUAUUGCACAAUGGGCGGAAGCCUGAUGCAGCGACGCCGCGUGAGGGAUGACGGCCUUCGGGUUGUAAACCUCUUUCAGUAGGGACGAAGCGUAAGUGACGGUACCUGCAGAAGAAGCACCGGCUAACUACGUGCCAGCAGCCGCGGUAAUACGUAGGGUGCGAGCGUUGUCCGGAAUUACUGGGCGUAAAGAGCUCGUAGGCGGUUUGUCACGUCGUCUGUGAAAUCCUAGGGCUUAACCCUGGACGUGCAGGCGAUACGGGCUGACUUGAGUACUACAGGGGGGACUGGAAUUUCUGGUGUAGCGGUAGAAUGCACAGAUAUCAGGAAGAACACCGAUGGCGAAGGCAGCUUACGGGAGUGUUACUGACGCUUAAGCUCGAAGGUGCGGGUAUCGAACAGG